GAUGAACGCUGGCGGCGUGCCUAAUACAUGCAAGUCGAGCGAACAGAUGAGGAUCUGGCUCCUCUGACGUUAGCGGCGGACGGGUGAGUAACACGUGGAUAACCUACCUAUAAGACUGGGAUAACUACGGGAAACCGGAGCUAAGACCGGAUAAUAUAUUGCACCGCAUGGUGCAAUAGUGAAAUACGGUUUUGCUGUCACUUAUAGAUGGAUCAGCGCCGAAUUAGCUAGUUGGUAAGGUAACGGCUUACCAAGGCAACGAUGCGUAGCCGACCUGAGAGCGACGAUGGCUACCCUGGCACUGAGAAACGCCAGCGACUCCUACGCGAGGACGCAGUAGGGACUCCUACGCAAUGGGGCAAAGCCUGAUCGAGCACAGUGGGGUGAGUCCUGACGGUCUUAGGCUCGGAAAACUAUGUUAUUCGGGAAGAACAAAUGUGCAUGCAACUAUGACCGUCUUGACGGUACCUAAUCAGAAAGCCCCGGCUAACUACGUG
RNAcentral lists this ribosomal RNA (497 nucleotides) under uncultured bacterium. RNAcentral describes it as "partial 16S ribosomal RNA". It matches the Rfam family "Bacterial small subunit ribosomal RNA", at positions 28 to 507 of the family's 1533-position model. The record is from RNAcentral.